Molecule: non-coding RNA, 106 nt
Organism: Gossypium raimondii (Peruvian cotton)
Lineage: Eukaryota; Viridiplantae; Streptophyta; Magnoliopsida; Malvales; Malvaceae
Source: Rfam
GUCCCAUGAUGAGGACACUUACGAAGUAACUCCCUGAACGCUCCCAAGUCUCAUACAAAGACUCGUCAUCCAAUUGUUGGAAAGUUGUGAUCUCGCUCCUUAACUU